UACGGAGGGUGCGAGCGUUGUCCGGAAUCACUGGGCGUAAAGGGCGCGUAGGCGGCUCGGUAAGCGUGUGGUGAAAGCCUGGGGCUCAACCCCGGGUCGGCCAUGCGAACUGUCGAGCUGGAGCACUGUAGAGGCAGGCGGAAUUCCGGGUGUAGCGGUGGAAUGCGUAGAGAUCCGGAAGAACACCGGUGGCGAAGGCGGCCUGCUGGGCAGUAGCUGACGCUGAGGCGCGACAGCGUGGGGAGCAAACAGG
This 253-nucleotide ribosomal RNA is filed under the name uncultured bacterium. RNAcentral describes it as "partial 16S ribosomal RNA". It matches the Rfam family "Bacterial small subunit ribosomal RNA", at positions 524 to 776 of the family's 1533-position model. The record is from RNAcentral.